GACGAACGCUGGCGGCGUGCUUAACACAUGCAAGUCGAACGGAAAGGCCCUGCUUUUGUGGGGUGCUCGAGUGGCGAACGGGUGAGUAACACGUGAGUAACCUGCCCUUGACUUUGGGAUAACUUCAGGAAACUGGGGCUAAUACCGGAUAGGAGCUCCUGCUGCAUGGUGGGGGUUGGAAAGUUUCGGCGGUUGGGGAUGGACUCGCGGCUUAUCAGCUUGUUGGUGGGGUAGUGGCUUACCAAGGCUUUGACGGGUAGCCGGCCUGAGAGGGUGACCGGCCACAUUGGGACUGAGAUACGGCCCAGACUCCUACGGGAGGCGGCAGUGGGGAAUAUUGCGCAAUGGGCGGAAGCCUGAUGCAGCAACGCCGCGUGCGGGAUGACGGCCUUCGGGUUGUAAACCGCUUUCGCCUGUGACGAAGCGUGAGUGACGGUAAUGGGUAAAGAAGCACCGGCUGACUACGUG
RNAcentral lists this ribosomal RNA (468 nucleotides) under uncultured bacterium. RNAcentral's name for it is "partial 16S ribosomal RNA". It matches the Rfam family "Bacterial small subunit ribosomal RNA", at positions 28 to 507 of the family's 1533-position model. The record is from RNAcentral.